UUGAAAUUUUAAAUUGCUAAUAACAUAAAUUAUUAUAAAUUGAUAACUUUAAAGUUAAAAAAUAUCAUUAAACUCCUGUAACGCUUUUAAAACCAUACUCAUACAUAAAAAUUUGUAAUUACGUUAUUGGUAAUAGAUAGCAUAUCUGAUUGUACUCCAUGUCAAAAUUCUGACAUAUGUCAAACAGAUUUUAAGUUUGGUUAUGUUUAUCUUGAUGCAUUUAUCUUUAUUUAUUUGUUUUAGAAGUAACAGUUUAGUAAUAAAGUUUAAUUAACAUAAAUUGAAUAUAAAUUGUCAUUGGAAUUGGUUGUUGGAUCCCUUAAGCUUUGUAUUAAGCUAAGUUUCCUAAAAAUCCGUUCUUACAAUCAUCAUGGAAUGUAAUAAAACACUCUUCCUUUUAAAUUAUUUUUGAGUUUGCUACAUCAUCCUCAUAAAACUAACCAUGAACCUGAGAAUUCUUUAAUAAUGUUGGUCUUCAAUGCAACAAAGUAAGAUGUUUCAUAUACAAUUUUUUAAUAAUUAUUCUUCUUUUAUUGAUUAAUGUUCCAUGCAAGUGGUUCAUUAGGACUUUUUUAGGUUGGAUUAUUUAUUUUCUCAUCCUUGGAUUAACCUACAAAUUUAAAUAAGCAUUAGCUACAGAAGUGUUGAGAUCCAAAUUAUGCCUUGUCAAGUUUGGAAAUUAUGAAACUAAUCUAAAAUUAGUUAAAACUCAAUAAUUUGGUAAUCAAAAAAACUGGGUUAUGUGUAAUAAUUUACAAACUCUGAUACCUAAUCACAUUAAAAGUAUUUGAUUACAUGAAACUUGAAUUGCAAAAAUUCCCUGCAAUGAGACUUACAUAAUUCCUAUAUUGAAUUAAUUUGUUCCCAAAACGCUAUAUUUUCCGUUACCUCUUUAACCUAUAAAAUAAAAUGAUUUAUUUUUAGAUCAGUCCAAAUUUUAAUAGAUCAAGGUUUCAUAAAGUUUACAAGUAUUACAUGAUUCAUGUUUUACCGUUAUAUUGCAUAAUGGAUUGAAAUUUACGACCCAUAACAACGUUAAUUCUCCCCUAACAAUAUUCAUAAAUGCACUGCAGUAAGCAAAGUUUAGAUACAUAUUAGUUGAGAGAUUUUAAUGUAAAUAAAACAGUUUAUAUUUCA
Molecule: non-coding RNA, 1137 nt
Organism: Onthophagus taurus
Lineage: Eukaryota; Metazoa; Arthropoda; Insecta; Coleoptera; Scarabaeidae
Source: RefSeq, a predicted model, not a curated record